Molecule: transfer RNA, 84 nt
Filed under: Azospirillum brasilense
Lineage: Bacteria; Pseudomonadati; Pseudomonadota; Alphaproteobacteria; Rhodospirillales; Azospirillaceae
Description: tRNA-Leu
Rfam family: tRNA
About the family: Transfer RNA (tRNA) molecules are approximately 80 nucleotides in length. Their secondary structure includes four short double-helical elements and three loops (D, anti-codon, and T loops). Further hydrogen bonds mediate the characteristic L-shaped molecular structure. tRNAs have two regions of fundamental functional importance: the anti-codon, which is responsible for specific mRNA codon recognition, and the 3' end, to which the tRNAs corresponding amino acid is attached (by aminoacyl-tRNA synthetases). tRNAs cope with the degeneracy of the genetic code in two manners: having more than one tRNA (with a specific anti-codon) for a particular amino acid; and 'wobble' base-pairing, i.e. permitting non-standard base-pairing at the 3rd anti-codon position.
Source: RNAcentral
GCGGUCGUGGCGGAAUUGGUAGACGCGCAGCGUUGAGGUCGCUGUGGCAGAAAUGUCGUGGAAGUUCGAGUCUUCUCGACCGCA